This 492-nucleotide ribosomal RNA is filed under the name uncultured bacterium. Its description in RNAcentral is "partial 16S ribosomal RNA". It matches the Rfam family "Bacterial small subunit ribosomal RNA", at positions 28 to 507 of the family's 1533-position model. The record is from RNAcentral.
GAUGAACGCUAGCUACAGGCUUAACACAUGCAAGUCGAGGGGAAACGACAUCGAAAGCUUGCUUUUGAUGGGCGUCGACCGGCGCACGGGUGAGUAACGCGUAUCCAACCUGCCCAUCACUUGGGAAUAACCUUGCGAAAGUAAGACUAAUACCCAAUGAUAUCCCACGAAGGCAUCGGAAUGGGAUUAAAGAUUUAUCGGUGAUGGAUGGGGAUGCGUCUGAUUAGCUUGUUGGCGGGGUAACGGCCCAUCAAGGCAACGAUCAGUAGGGGUUCUGAGAGGAAGGUCCCCCACAUUGGAACUGAGACACGGUCCAAACUCCUACGGGAGGCAGCAGUGAGGAAUAUUGGCCAAUGGGCGAGAGCCUGAACCAGCCAAGUAGCGUGCAGGAAGACGGCCCUAUGGGUUGUAAACUGCUUUUAUAAGGGAAUAAAGUGGGUCACGUGUGACUUUUUGCAUGUACCUUAUGAAUAAGGACCGGCUAAUUCCGUG